RNAcentral lists this unclassified non-coding RNA (391 nucleotides) under soil metagenome. RNAcentral describes it as "partial contains 5.8S ribosomal RNA, internal transcribed spacer 2, and large subunit ribosomal RNA". The stretch from base 1 to 122 matches the Rfam family "5.8S ribosomal RNA", at positions 35 to 154 of the family's 154-position model. The record is from RNAcentral.
GAUGAAGAACGUAGUGAAAUGCGAUACUUGGUGUGAAUUGCAGAAUCCCGUGAACCAUCGAGUCUUUGAACGCAAGUUGCGCCCGAAGCCAUUAGGCCGAGGGCACGCCUGCCUGGGCGUCACACGUCGUUGCCCCCCCAUCUACUCCUUCGGGAUUGCGGGGGGCGGAUGAUGGCCUCCCGUGCGCCUCGUCGCGCGGUUGGCAUAAAUACCAAGUCCUCGGCGACGCACGCCACGACAAUCGGUGGUUGCGAAACCUCGGUUGCCCGUCGUGUGCGGUCGUCGCGCAUCGAGGGCUCGAAAAAAUUGCCGGGCUCCGGCUCGGCUUUCAACGCGACCCCUGGUCAGGCGGGGUUACCAGCUGAAUUUAAGCAUAUCAAUAAGCGGAGGA